UACGGAGGAUGCGAGCGUUAUCCGGAUUCAUUGGGUUUAAAGGGUGCGCAGGCGGGCUAUUAAGUCAGGGGUGAAAUACUACGGCUCAACCGUGGAACUGCCUUUGAUACUGAUAGUCUUGAAUUUAGUUGAAGUGGGCGGAAUGUAGCAUGUAGCGGUGAAAUGCAUAGAUAUGCUACAGAACGCCGAUAGCGAAGGCAGCUCACUAAGUUAAUAUUGACGCUCAUGCACGAAAGCGUGGGGAUCAAACAGG
Molecule: ribosomal RNA, 253 nt
Filed under: uncultured bacterium
Lineage: Bacteria
Description: partial 16S ribosomal RNA
Rfam family: Bacterial small subunit ribosomal RNA
Source: RNAcentral